GCCUUCUUAGCUCAAUGGUAGACGCGUGGCUUUUAACCACUUGGUCGUGGGUUCGAUCGCAACAGACGGCG
This 71-nucleotide transfer RNA is filed under the name Nicotiana sylvestris (wood tobacco). It matches the Rfam family "tRNA". From Rfam's summary of the family: Transfer RNA (tRNA) molecules are approximately 80 nucleotides in length. The record is from Rfam by way of RNAcentral. Lineage: Eukaryota; Viridiplantae; Streptophyta; Magnoliopsida; Solanales; Solanaceae.